Molecule: long non-coding RNA, 2076 nt
Filed under: Sus scrofa (pig)
Lineage: Eukaryota; Metazoa; Chordata; Mammalia; Artiodactyla; Suidae
Description: lncRNA (ENSSSCG00045015902.1)
Source: RNAcentral
AAGGAUGAUCCGGGAAUUUCCAGUUUUACACUAGGUGUCAUAUGAAACUGUCAACGGAUUAGAAGAACAGGUAAACAAUAUAGGCACACAUUAAGAAUAAUGGAGGUAGAAUUUGGGUAGAACACAAAAGGAGAAAACAUAUAGAUAAAUAUAAUUUCGUUUUCAAAUAAUUGAUAAGAAGAAAAAUUAUUUGCCUGCUCUAAACAUUCAUGUCAAACUCUAAUCUCAGCUGAUUUUCUGAAAAUAUUUUUCUGAUGGUAAACAGACUCCACAUUCAGAUCCCCACGUGAAUUUUUUAACGUGUAAUAUAUCAUAUAUUAGAAAAAUAUUUUAAGCAUUAAUAAUAACAUUCUUUUUUUUUUUUCUUUUUGCCUUUUCUAGGGCCACUGCCACGGCAUAUGAAAGCUCCCAGGCUAGGGGUCUAAUCGGAGCUGUAUUCUCCGGCCUACGCCAGAGCCACAGCAACUCGGGAUCCGAGCCUCGUCUGCAACCUACACCACAGCUCAUGGCAAUGCCGGAUCGUUAACCCACUGAGCAAGGGCAGGGACCGAACCCACAACCUCAUGGUUCCUAGUCGGAUUCGUUAACCACUGCGCCACAACGGGAACUCCUUGGCUGUAAUUAUUAAUUGUUGGACACAUGAAAUCUCUGUGUCCAAGAAAUAAAAAAGUAAGAAAGUUUCACACAAGACAGGGUUCACAGUUUUUGUUUUUGGUUUUGUUUUUUAGUGACUUAAUCUCAAAAAUGUCAUGUGUUAAUUUUGCUGUAUUAUAUUCAUUAGAAAUUAGUUACUAGGUAUAGUCCAGACUCAAGCAGAGGGAUUACACGAAAGCAUGAACUUAAAGAUGUAGGGUCACUGCUAGGGGCUGCCUAGUGCAUUUCACUCUGCCCUGCAGUAAUUCACAUCACUUCUUCAUGCAGAAUACAUUCACCUUCCCAAAGUCCCCAAACAUGUAAUCACAUUAAAACAUUAUCUCCAAGUGCAGAAUAUUAUUACAUAAGUCAGGUUCGUAAGUGGACAUUUCCAGUUCUCUGAGUACAGCUUCUAUAGAAAUAUAGAUCUGAGAAACUAAAAAGACAGGUUAUUUGCUUCCCACACACUCAACAUAACAAUGGUGGGAUAUAGAAUAAGCACAAUAGACAUUUUUGUUGAAAAAAGUAUAAGGUCAUAGGCACACAGGAGUGAUUGAUCCAUAGCAGUUCUAAUAUCCAGCCAGACAAAUAUGUGAAGUUCUUUGGUUGUGUCUCAAUAUAUAGGAAUAAUUGUCUGUCUGUCAGUGCCACUUUUUGCAUUCUUUUUUUCCAUUUGCUACUCCAUCCUUCUUUUAUCACAAAAGGUAGCACAUAUUUGUGGCUGAAAAAUGUUCUCUGUCUGCUUCACGGAGAGUAGAGGUUUGGGUGUCCAACUUUACUGUCAAGAGACAAUACAAUGUCUCUUUCAUUUUUUAUUUUCUCUGACCUUUCAAUCUAAAUUGGCAAUAUUUCUGCCAAUACCAUUCUCUUAAAAACCUUGUGGGUCUCCUGUGACUUCCAUUAUGGUGUGUGCUGUUAAACAAACAAACAAACAAACAAACAAAGGCAACUCAUAAUCUCUUCAAGAUAAGCCUUUUUUUAGGCUUGGACCCCUGCUGAGACAUUGGGGGACAAUGUUGGAGGUAUCCUAAAAGUCCUAUGUUUGGUUGACAAGAUCUGUGGGUUACAGCCUUAAAACUCUCUGAAGAUAUGUUAAAUCACUAACCCCCAGAACCUCUGAAUAUAAUCACAUUAAGGAAUGGGGUUAUUGUAGAUAUAAUUCAUUACUAUGAGAUCAUCUUGGGAGUGCUCACUGAGGUUCAGUGGUAAGGAAUCUGACUAGUAUCCAUGAGGAUUCGAGUUUGGUCCCAGGCCCCACUCGGUGGGUUAAUGAUCUGGUGUUACUGUGAGCUUUGGUGUACGUCACAGACGUGGCUCAGAUCCUGCAUUGCCAUGGCAUAGGCUGGCAGCUGCAGCUCUGAUUCAAACCCAAGGCUGGGAAUUUCCAUAUGUUGUGGGUGCAGCCCUAAAAAAUAAAAUAAAAGAGAGAGAAAAGAAAAAAAA